RNAcentral lists this long non-coding RNA (741 nucleotides) under Sinocyclocheilus grahami. RNAcentral's name for it is "lncRNA (ENSSGRG00000027829.1)". Lineage: Eukaryota; Metazoa; Chordata; Actinopteri; Cypriniformes; Cyprinidae. The record is from RNAcentral.
GGAUGCUGCGUGACAAACGUGACUUUGUUUACAACGCGUGCAGACCGUUUAAAAUACAGAUCCUGGAGAUGACAGCUCAGUGACUGUUUUAUAAAUCUAACUGAACGGCACAUAUUCCGACCCAUUAACAAACAGAAUAGACACAUGCUGCGAUAAAUGCAGGAAACGAGUGACCUGCGACUCACUGUAACCUUAAUUUUUCUGCAGCACAUUAACCAGAGGCUGAAACACAGAAACAGCUUGAAGGCCACAAGCUCGACUUCAACAGCAUACGGGAUGUGUUUGGACAGAAGCAGAGCUCUGGGACGUGUGGACAGACUUUGACUGUAAUGAUAGACGUCUGCUCAAGGACAGGUAAGACUUAGAGCUUGUGUUUGUGUUUUGCUGUGUACUACACGUGUAGGUUACCAUCACUUUCUUUUUGGAGGGUCACCUCUCUAGAAAGCUAAAUGAUGGGAACCUAAAUGGAUGGGGAAGGGACGGCGGUUCAAAAAUUUUAGACAGCUAAAAAAAAAAUAUUUUUUCUUUAAAGAAGCAUAACCGCUGCUGGACAUCGCUCUGGGUCUCAGGGGGGGACCCGAAUCAUCCUCACCCCUUCAUUCACACAACACUCACUCAUAUCACAGAGAUCUGGCUGGGAUUGAACCAGCGACCUCCGAACCGUGAGGCAGCGCUCUUACCUGUGAGCCACAGAUCUCUUGCUUGAGGUUGUGCUGGAACGUAUAUUUCACUAUUCACCUG